UCGUGCCGACUGACCUCA
RNAcentral lists this unclassified non-coding RNA (18 nucleotides) under Mus musculus (house mouse). RNAcentral's name for it is "oocyte_clustered_small_RNA4411". Lineage: Eukaryota; Metazoa; Chordata; Mammalia; Rodentia; Muridae. The record is from RNAcentral.